CAAAGAGUAGUUUAAGAUAAAAUAUUAAUUUUGGAGAUUAAUGAUGGGAAUGGCUUCUUUCUUUGA
This 66-nucleotide transfer RNA is filed under the name Blattella foliolata. Its description in RNAcentral is "tRNA-Pro". The record is from RNAcentral. Lineage: Eukaryota; Metazoa; Arthropoda; Insecta; Blattodea; Blattellidae.